AUUCUAUGAUGAUUUUACCAAAAUGACUUUCAUUCUUCUGAGUAUACUAAAGCCACGUAUUAGGUACUGAGAAAG
Ailuropoda melanoleuca (giant panda) is the source of this 75-nucleotide small nucleolar RNA. Lineage: Eukaryota; Metazoa; Chordata; Mammalia; Carnivora; Ursidae. The record is from Ensembl.